GUUGAAGGUUGGGUAACACUAACUGGAGGACCGAACCGACUAAUGUUGAAAAAUUAGCGGAUGACCUGUGGCUGGGGGUGAAAGGCCAAUCAAACCGGGAGAUAGCUGGUUCUCCCCGAAAGCUAUUUAGGUAGCGCCUCGUGAAUUCAUCUCCGGGGGUAGAGCACUGUUUCGGCUAGGGGGCCAUCCCGGCUUACCAACCCGAUGCAAACUGCGAAUACCGGAGAAUGUUAUCACGGGAGACACACGGCGGGUGCUAACGUCCGUCGUGAAGAGGGAAACAACCCAGACCGCCAGCUAAGGUCCCAAAGUCAUGGUUAAGUGGGAAACGAUGUGGGAAGGCCCAGACAGCCAGGAUGUUGGCUUAGAAGCAGCCAUCAUUUAAAGAAAGCGUAAUAGCUCACUGGUCGAGUCGGCCUGCGCGGAAGAUGUAACGGGGCUAAACCAUGCACCGAAGCUGCGGCAGCGAACGUAUCACCCAAGACAACUUUACGGAGUUGACGAUUGACGGAGCGAAGCGACGUCAAAGCGUUCAUUAAAGUCGAGUUGGCUUAGGGAUACGUUCGUUGGGUAGGGGAGCGUUCUGUAAGCCUGUGAAGGUGUGUCGUGAGGCAUGCUGGAGGU
RNAcentral lists this ribosomal RNA (624 nucleotides) under Salmonella enterica subsp. enterica serovar Typhimurium. RNAcentral's name for it is "partial 23S ribosomal RNA". It matches the Rfam family "Bacterial large subunit ribosomal RNA", at positions 744 to 1280 of the family's 2925-position model. The record is from RNAcentral. Lineage: Bacteria; Pseudomonadati; Pseudomonadota; Gammaproteobacteria; Enterobacterales; Enterobacteriaceae.